Molecule: long non-coding RNA, 245 nt
Filed under: Phoenix dactylifera (date palm)
Lineage: Eukaryota; Viridiplantae; Streptophyta; Magnoliopsida; Arecales; Arecaceae
Description: long non-coding RNA (PDAC_LNC005658)
Source: RNAcentral
AAACAUCAAAGAUCCUCAAACAACUCAAAAAAUGGUUCUCUGGAUUUACUGAGAGGGUCGACCCAAGAAGAAGUUGAGUCGACCCAAGUAAACCUUGAGUCGACCCAAAGAAAGGUUGAGUCGACCCAAGUAAAGAAAGGCUGAAAUUCAAGAUUCUGAAUUUUCUGAAAGUUGGAUCGACCCAAGAAAAGUUUGAGCUGACCCAAGGUUUGAGUCGACCCAAGAAAAGUUUGAGCUGACCCAAG